RNAcentral lists this ribosomal RNA (1201 nucleotides) under human gut metagenome. RNAcentral's name for it is "bacterial SSU rRNA". It matches the Rfam family "Bacterial small subunit ribosomal RNA", at positions 8 to 1201 of the family's 1533-position model. The record is from RNAcentral.
AGAGUUUGAUCCUGGCUCAGGAUGAACGCUAGCUACAGGCUUAACACAUGCAAGUCGAGGGGCAGCAUGGACUCAGCUUUGCUGGGUUUGAUGGCGACCGGCGCACGGGUGAGUAACGCGUAUCCAACCUGCCCUUUACUCCGGGAUAGUCUCCUGAAAGGGAGUUUAAUACCGGAUGUGUUUGUCUUUCCGCAUGGGAGCGACAAAUAAAGAUUAAUUGGUAAAGGAUGGGGAUGCGUCCCAUUAGCUUGUUGGCGGGGUAACGGCCCACCAAGGCGACGAUGGGUAGGGGUUCUGAGAGGAAGGUCCCCCACAUUGGAACUGAGACACGGUCCAAACUCCUACGGGAGGCAGCAGUGAGGAAUAUUGGUCAAUGGGCGAGAGCCUGAACCAGCCAAGUAGCGUGAAGGACGACGGCCCUAGGGGUUGUAAACUUCUUUUAUAAGGGAAUAAAGUGCGUUACGUGUAAUGUUUUGUAUGUACCUUAUGAAUAAGCAUCGGCUAAUUCCGUGCCAGCAGCCGCGGUAAUACGGAAGAUGCGAGCGUUAUCCGGAUUUAUUGGGUUUAAAGGGAGCGUAGGCGGGCUUUUAAGUCAGCGGUCAAAUGUCGUGGCUCAACCAUGUCAAGCCGUUGAAACUGCAAGCCUUGAGUCUGCACAGGGCACAUGGAAUUCGUGGUGUAGCGGUGAAAUGCUUAGAUAUCACGAAGAACUCCGAUCGCGAAGGCAUUGUGCCGGGGCAUAACUGACGCUGAGGCUCGAAAGUGCGGGUAUCAAACAGGAUUAGAUACCCUGGUAGUCCGCACGGUAAACGAUGAAUGCUCGCUAUGGGCGAUAUAUAGUCCGUGGCCAAGCGAAAGCGUUAAGCAUUCCACCUGGGGAGUACGCCGGCAACGGUGAAACUCAAAGGAAUUGACGGGGGCCCGCACAAGCGGAGGAACAUGUGGUUUAAUUCGAUGAUACGCGAGGAACCUUACCCGGGCUUGAAUUGCAGGUGCAUGAGUCAGAGACGGCUCUUUCCUUCGGGACUCCUGUGAAGGUGCUGCAUGGUUGUCGUCAGCUCGUGCCGUGAGGUGUCGGCUUAAGUGCCAUAACGAGCGCAACCCUUCUCCCCAGUUGCCAUCGGGUAAUGCCGGGCCCUCUGGGGACACUGCCAUCGUAAGAUGCGAGGAAGGUGGGGAUGACGUCAAAUCAGCACGGCCC